RNAcentral lists this ribosomal RNA (500 nucleotides) under uncultured bacterium. Its description in RNAcentral is "bacterial SSU rRNA". It matches the Rfam family "Bacterial small subunit ribosomal RNA", at positions 903 to 1397 of the family's 1533-position model. The record is from RNAcentral.
AAAGGAAUAGACGGGGGCCCGCACAAGCGGUGGAGCAUGUGGUUUAAUUCGACGCAACGCGAAGAACCUUACCGGGGCUUGACAUCUUUUUGACCGCCUGGGAAACCAGGUUUUCUUCCUUCGGGAAGACAGAAAGACAGGUGGUGCAUGGUUGUCGUCAGCUCGUGUCGUGAGAUGUUGGGUUAAGUCCCACAACGAGCGCAACCCUUGUCCUUAUUUGCCAGCCUGUUUACAGGCGCACUCUAAGGAGACUGCCGUAGAUAAUACGGAGGAAGGUGGGGAUGACGUCAAAUCCUCAUGCCCCUUACGUCCCGGGCUACACACGUGCUACAAUGGUCUGUACAGAGGGUUGCUAAGGAGCGAUCCGGAGCCAAUCCCACAAAGCAGGCCCCAGUUCGGAUUGGAGGCUGAAACUCGCCUCCAUGAAGGUGGAAUCGCUAGUAAUCGCGGAUCAGCAUGCCGCGGUGAAUACGUUCCCGGGCCUUGUACACACCGCCCGU